UGGCAUUUGGACAUCUUUGUCCCCCUACACUUGAGUCAUGCUCUGUCCGUGCUCAGGGCUGCGCCUGUUUUCAGUGCAUUCACAUUUCUAUCACUUUGAGGUCUGGGCUCGGCCCAGCAGUGGGAUGGGUAGAUUGGGAGGCCCAGGAUCUGGACUGGAUCUGUCAGCUGGAGUGUGGCAGGCGCUUGAGGAAUGAGCAGCAGCAGGUAGCAGGACAGCACCUGGUCUGACUAAGAGAAGACAGUCUCCGGGAAGAGCAGAGCAAUGACUCAGGUUAUAGACAAGGUUACAGUGAGUCUUGAAGGACUAACAUGAUGUCGCAGGAUGCCCUGCGAGGCAGGCGGAGCCCUACUGUAAUAGAAAUCCAGGGAAUUAGCAUCAGAUAAGCAUCAGCUGGUUGCAGGGCACCAAUCACUAGACUGUGCCUCUUGGGCAGACUCUGGUCUUGGGGGUAGGACAGUACCAGCGGGAAGAAGGCAAAUGCCCAGGUUUGCGUGGAGAGGGAGCCAGGCAGACGUAAGCACAUCAGAGACCAAGUCAAACCUGUCAUCAGAACCAGCUCACAGGCUCCUGUAGCCUAGAAGAAAGAGUGGGUUGGGAGUAAUCCUGGAAUGUUGAUCUUCAAGGUCAAAUGCCCCUCUACAAGGUCAGGGGUUGGUCCUAAAGACCAAAGUUCCAGGUCACACAUGGCAAAAGCCCUAAACCCAGGGAAGUGGCUUCAAUCUGCGCUCUCCACGGUCAGGAAGAGGGCCUUCAUUCACGUGGCAAACAUCUUCUGAGCACUCAGAUGUGUCAGGCGCUGAGUCACAAUGGAGAAUAGUCCCCGCCCUCAAGGAGCCCUGAGAAACAAGCCUCCUUUGACCGACUGUUGGUGAGCAACCACUGAAGCAGGAUUCUUUACAGCACCUCUGGCGCAAUCCUCACAGACUGGAGACCAGCCUCCACGCAGGACCUGCCGACACACUUCGUUACGCUCUGCACAGCAAAGCACAUACGCAGUAAAGUGCGCAAGUCUUGAGGAAACAUCUUGAUGGCUUUAUAAACCCAUCAACACAGUGUUUUAAAAGUCAGUUAUUAACUUUUCUCGUGAAAAAAGUCCCUGGAAUGUAAAAAUUUAUUCCGAGCAACAGCACACACCAAACCUCCCUCACCGCUGCCGGCUUUCCAUCUCAGAUUCUGAUGGUGUGGAGACGAAAGGCUGAGGGCUCUCCCGGAGCUCACCUUCCAUCUGCGAAAGCCACUGCCGGGACAAUUCUUUCCCCAGAGAGAAGGCAUCCUCUUGGGCACAGAAGCGAGAUUGUCUAACAGUGUCCCAGAGCUCUCCGUACCUCAGUUUCCCGAUCUGCGCCUGCCAUACAUGGUGGUCCUACUGCUGGUUUGAAAAGUAUGCUACAAAUAUGAAGAGAUAAUCAGCAAGGCUCCUUGGAUAAGGUUAUUAUAUUCAAGUCUUGCCAAAAAAUGUAAGAAAAAAAACUCCAAUUUGAUGGGAUCCAGAGGAACAAUUAUGCUUUCUAAAAAUAAGAUGAGCCGAAGCUAAGGAAAUGAAAACGUUUCUAAAGAAGAAGGUCAGGACUUCUUUUGUGGCCUCCUUUCAUCGCUGGGUUAUUCACUGUAAUAGUAGCCUGCCAUUUCAAACUAUGACUCAGGGGCCUGGUCAUGGGUUACAGAGCAUUUCAUCUGUGGUCACCCCACCUGCCCACGAGAAAUUGAUGGUUAGCGACUACGGAGCAGGUUACUCACUGAAUAUUAUUCUCCACCGUAACCUCCUGACCCUUGCCUCAUCGAAAAGAUUGGUGCUAUUCUGCUUUUACCUACAGAGAAAGAGCAAGGAGGAGAUAAAAUAGGACCUUGAUAUUCGGGGUUGUGGCUCAUUUCUGAAGGUCGGACAUGAAAAGCUGUUUCGAAUUUUGCCCCAUUCGUUCUUAAAACCGCAGCCCAGGAAUUUAUAAGCAUAGCUGCCCUUUAUCUCUCCCAAGAAUGAAAUUGCUUUCUCCAAUAGAGUUUAAAGGGAUGAAUUAAUUGGUGUUUUUGGCAGGAGUACUCUAUAAUUGCAAAGUACUCUGAGUAUCACCAUAUAGUUUUUUCCUUAGAUGGUCCAUUAGGAGGAACUAUGGCAUUCCCAAAGCUAUUCUUUAAUUAGGUCAGCAGCAUCUGCCAAGAAUCCGCUCUCCUCUCAGACCAGGUUUAAUCACAGUGACAAGUGACUUUCAAGUUUAUACCCACACACUCUUAGAUUUCUGAUUUGCCCUAGAAGAAGGUUCUGAUCACAGUGUUCUGAGCGCUGGCCCCUGGGCCUGACUUCCCUGUCUGUCUGGAUUUGGGAUUUUUGGCCUGCCCUUACCUUGUGACUUGCCCCCCUGGAUUGCUGACCCAUUCUUGACCUCUGACAACAGCACGCUCCUUAACAUCUGUUCUACCUGCAUAGAGCCUGGUCUUCCGCCCGAUUCUUAAUUCUGAUUAUUAGGCUCCUGGACCAGGCCAAUUCUCACAGCCUAAGGAGGAUGAAGAUGUCCUUAGACUAAAAUGGCCAAGACCAGAGCUCAUGAAUGACAAGGACAAACAACCCAAGGACUCAGUGAUCAUACAAAUGUCCAAAUGGGGGGCACAUGAAUUGCUGUAAGGCCUUAGAUUUCACAUAUUAUAUAUAUGAGGUUCAUAUAUUACAGUUAGUUACAGGACACUAAUGAGAGACAGACUUUUCAAACCUAGGUCACAGAACACUGAGCAUAGCCCUCAAAAUGCACCCUGGAUCACACAGCAAAAGAUACGCAGUCACGGAAUUGCUGCUGGGCCAAUGUGUCAAUCACGC
RNAcentral lists this long non-coding RNA (2809 nucleotides) under Equus asinus (donkey). RNAcentral's name for it is "lncRNA (ENSEASG00005025121.1)". The record is from RNAcentral. Lineage: Eukaryota; Metazoa; Chordata; Mammalia; Perissodactyla; Equidae.